AACGCGAAGAACCUUACCUACCCUUGACAUCCUCGGAAUCUUUCAGAGAUGAAAGAGUGCCUUCGGGAACCGAGAGACAGGUGCUGCAUGGCUGUCGUCAGCUCGUGUCGUGAGAUGUUGGGUUAAGUCCCGUAACGAGCGCAACCCUCGCCCUUAGUUGCUAACAGUUCGGCUGAGAACUCUAAGGGGACCGCCGGUGAUAAACCGGAGGAAGGCGGGGACGACGUCAAGUCAUCAUGGCCCUUACGGGUAGGGCUACACACGUGCUACAAUGGGCAGUACAAAGGGUUGCCAAGCCGCGAGGUGGAGCUAAUCCCAAAAAGCUGCUCUUAGUCCGGAUUGGAGUCUGCAACUCGACUCUAUGAAGUCGGAAUCGCUAGUAAUCGCAAAUCAGCAUGUUGCGGUGAAUACGUUCCCGGGCCUUGUACACACCGAUAGC
RNAcentral lists this ribosomal RNA (439 nucleotides) under uncultured bacterium. Its description in RNAcentral is "bacterial SSU rRNA". It matches the Rfam family "Bacterial small subunit ribosomal RNA", at positions 958 to 1397 of the family's 1533-position model. The record is from RNAcentral.